This is a non-coding RNA of Mycena rosella, 94 nucleotides long. The record is from the annotation of a GenBank genome assembly. NCBI's taxonomy places the organism in Eukaryota, Fungi, Basidiomycota, Agaricomycetes, Agaricales, Mycenaceae.
GCCCUCGAUGAUUAGUGGUGAUCGCUUUGGAUAACUGUAGGGAAGAGGAAGAAAAUAUCACGAGGAUGCGCGGGUUCGAUUCCUGCCGAGGGCA